RNAcentral lists this ribosomal RNA (467 nucleotides) under uncultured bacterium. RNAcentral's name for it is "partial 16S ribosomal RNA". It matches the Rfam family "Bacterial small subunit ribosomal RNA", at positions 28 to 506 of the family's 1533-position model. The record is from RNAcentral.
GACGAACGCUGGCGGCGUGCUUAACACAUGCAAGUCGAACGGAAAGGCCCUGCUUUUGUGGGGUGCUCGAGUGGCGAACGGGUGAGUAACACGUGAGUAACCUGCCCUUGACUUUGGGAUAACUUCAGGAAACUGGGGCUAAUACCGGAUAGGAGCUCCUGCUGCAUGGUGGGGGUUGGAAAGUUUCGGCGGUUGGGGAUGGACUCGCGGCUUAUCAGCUUGUUGGUGGGGUAGUGGCUUACCAAGGCUUUGACGGGUAGCCGGCCUGAGAGGGUGACCGGCCAAAUUGGGACGGAGGUACGGCCCAGACCCAUAGGGGGGGCAGGAGUGGGGAAAUUUGCACAAUGGGGGGAGGCCGGGUGGAGAAACGGCGGGGGGGGGAUGGCGGCCUUGGGGUGGAAAACCGCUUUCCCGUGUGACGAAGGGGGGGUGAGGGUAAUGGGUAAAGAAGCACCGGCUAACUACGU